UACAGUCAGUGUAAUGUAAUCUUUACUUUGUGCUACCUGCUCAUUCAAAAUUACGAAAUAACAGCAGGGAAAUUAUGUUUGUUUUUACAGGUUAUUAAAAGAAUGACCCAGGUUCCUGAGGAGCUGACCUGAAUGACCAUCAUGGCCUCAAUCCGUUGUGCCUCUAUAUUCUUUGCAAAAUGCAAUGAAUAUUUACAGAGCUGACCAUGGCCGUUUGAGAAUCAGAGGAAUGGAAAGGCAAUGAAGUGACUUGGCCUACAGGUCUUUUGUGAUCAGGAGCUGGGGUUUCCUUAGAAGAAACGUCCGUGUCAU
Long non-coding RNA from Alosa sapidissima (American shad), 312 nucleotides. RefSeq lists it as uncharacterized. The transcript has 3 exons. The record is from RefSeq and is a predicted model, not a curated record. NCBI's taxonomy places the organism in Eukaryota, Metazoa, Chordata, Actinopteri, Clupeiformes, Clupeidae.